AUACGGAGGGUGCAAGCGUUGUUCGGAAUCACUGGGCGUAAAGGGCGCGCAGGCGGUUUGGUAAGUCAGAUGUGAAAGCCCAUGGCUCAACCAUGGAAGUGCAUUUGAAACUGUCAGACUUGAGUACUAGAGGGGAAAGUGGAAUUCCCGGUGUAGAGGUGAAAUUCGUAGAUAUCGGGAGGAAUACCGGUGGUGAAGGCGACUUUCUGGCUAGAUACUGACGCUGAGGCGCGAAAGCGUGGGGAGCAAACAGGAUUAGAAACCCCAGUAGUCC
Molecule: ribosomal RNA, 274 nt
Filed under: uncultured bacterium
Lineage: Bacteria
Description: partial 16S ribosomal RNA
Rfam family: Bacterial small subunit ribosomal RNA
Source: RNAcentral